GGAAAUGUGCCUGAAUGUCCAAGGGUCACUAUGAUAAAGUGAACAUAGAGGUGCACCAACCCUCUCAUUUCCU
This 73-nucleotide transfer RNA is filed under the name Pteruthius melanotis. RNAcentral describes it as "tRNA-Ile". Lineage: Eukaryota; Metazoa; Chordata; Aves; Passeriformes; Timaliidae. The record is from RNAcentral.